Molecule: long non-coding RNA, 520 nt
Organism: Suricata suricatta (meerkat)
Lineage: Eukaryota; Metazoa; Chordata; Mammalia; Carnivora; Herpestidae
Exons: 3
Source: RefSeq, a predicted model, not a curated record
GUUUCUUUCUCACACCGCACCACCCGCGGACCGGGAAAUGCCGCCUCCUCCGCCUCCACCGUUUCCCUCCUACAGAAAGGCUCAAGAAUCCAGCCAGCUUCCUGCCAUCUCGUUAUGCCUUGAGAGGAUCCUUAAGGACUAGCCAAAAUCGCACCGGGCAGGGGCUCAGACGCGCCGCGGCGACCCGCCUGCUCUGCAACGGAUUUGACAAACUGCCGGCCAACUCUCCAAGAAGACAGCCACCUGGCAGAUUGCACCUGACUCCACGGCAGCCGGGAGCCCCGAAGCGAGGCUCUCUGGCUUGCAGAAAGGCCACCCAAGAUCUAUUUCUCAAGCCGGGAACCGAAGCGUCUGUGGGAUCAGUGUCCCGAGAGAUCACAUGCAAAGGAGGGAAGGGGGAAAGGUGGGUUCAAGGAAGGCAGCAGGUCCCCGGAGCAACAAGUGCCGGGCUGCAGGGAGGUGUCACAGGAUCCGCUCCAGUCAGCUAUCCCCGCGUCGCCGCCAACGCGCCCAAAAUAGC